RNAcentral lists this long non-coding RNA (4305 nucleotides) under Panax ginseng (ginseng). Its description in RNAcentral is "long non-coding RNA (PGIN_LNC010608)". The record is from RNAcentral. Lineage: Eukaryota; Viridiplantae; Streptophyta; Magnoliopsida; Apiales; Araliaceae.
AUGCAAGUUUGUUCUUACUUAACUCUAAUAAGAGUGUUUUAUUCAAGCUUAUGGUUAAUCAUUGCUGAUUGCCAUGAAAAUUGUACUCUGUACAUCUUGCAUGUAUAAGUCAGGUAUGAAAGGCUGAUCACCUUCAUUACCGGUUUGUCCAGAAAUGUUUGUUCAUGUUUAAAACUUGUUCAGUCAAAAGUUUGUUCCUGCUAGUUCUCAAUUAUAUUGAUGAAUUAUAGCCAGCUUAUUAUUCAUACUCUUCAAUCAUGAUAUAUCUUUAUAUUGUUGUAUUUAAACUUGCUGGGCAAUUUUCAUGCUCACCCUUGCUAUAUCAUGAUAAACAUUGCAGAUAAAGCGAAUGCGUUCGGAUACAAGAAAAGGUUAAUGCCAAGUACAACUUGGGAUAAAAUGUGUGGCUAGUUUGUAAUAGUAUAGUUGAAUAAUAUGUUAUGUGUUAGAUAACUUAUGAAUUGUGUAAUAAGUAAAGGUUACUCGACCUUGGGGAAUAGUGUGUAAUGUAAUGUAUAAACAAUUUAUGUUUAUAUCUUCCGCAAAAAGUAAAAAGUUAUAGAAAUAGUGUACCGAAUCCGCGGCGAUUUGGGGCCCUGGUUCGGGGCUAUUACAGUUGGUAUCAGAGUUGUUGGUUAUGAAGCUUAGGUAGGAAUACAUGAGACCAAUAACCGCAGUGAUUAAGAUAAGAUCUAACUCACAUAGAGUUAGUUGGUCGGUAAGAUUCAAAGAUGAAUCUCGGCGAGUUGUAAAGAUACAGAGUUCCCUAACUCUAGUAAUAAGGUUGAAUGGUAAUGGUGAAUAGAUCGAGUCUAAAAGACUGAAAUUGCAGGGAUAAGAGAGAUCGUAAAACAAAAUGAUCAAGGCAUAGAAAUGAAUCGUAAUAUAUACGGUGAGAUCACCCCGUGAUCUGAUAAGGUGAUAGCAGGGAUAAGGAUCAAUUUGAUGAUUGGAAAGUUUAAGCAAGAUUGCUGUGUGAAUGGUACAGAUUCAGAAAUGGAUUAUGGAUACGGAUUAAAUGAAAUUCGUAUUGUGAAAGGGGGUUAAGAUUAGGUGGGGAUUUCAAUAAGGACUCAUGUCGGCAGCUGAGUUGUAUGAUUCCUUGUAUGGGCGGGGAAUUUGUACUUGGUUUUAGAAUCACUUAGCUUCCUAGUCGAUGUAGUGGUUAGGUUGAUCAAUUCUUUGUAUGGGCAGGGAAUUGGCCGCUUAGCUUCCUAUAUUGAUUAGUGGUCGAGUUUGGUUUGACAACCACUUAGUUUCUGAUAAUGAUAAUCAUUGAAAUGUUUGUAUCGCGCUAUUUGCUAUAUGCAGGUUAAGAGGGUGAUUCCUUUCUCAUGUGUAUAACAGAUAGAUAGGUCAUAUGUAGAGAAUAUAGGAUUAAGUACGAGUUCUUAAAAUUUAUACUUAUGUGACAUUCUUGAUUCAUAGUUAUAUGAAAUGUUUGUGAACCCCUCAGCGAAUGGACGCCAAAGGUCUGACUAGGGUAAGUUCUUAAACUCUAUAUAAUUGUGGUCAUGUUAUGAAUUCAUAAGUGUGGUUUUAUGAACUGGGUAUAGUUUUGUGUGAAUGGAAUGUUAAGGAUAAUAGGAAUAGAUAGAAUGUUUAAGCAAAUAGUACAGUCAAAAUUCUGUCUAUUGUUAAAUCGUGUUGAUAAAUGUCUUAGCCGAUUGUUCAAGAAAGACGAACAUUUAUUGGAAUUUGAUAGGUUUGAAAAGAGAAGAGAAGAGAAGAGAAGUAAAUAGAAUUUGAAAUCCCAGUAUUUCGUUAUUAAAACAAAAUCUUGAUUUUAAGACUGAGCAGAACAACCUUUUAUAUAAAGGGAAUAUUUUAUUUUGAGUAUCUUUGAUAGAUACCCGAGAAAUUUGAGUAUCUUUGAUAGAUACCCGAGAAAUUUGAGUAUCUUUGAUAGAUACCCGAGAAAUUUGAGUAUAUAUCAAAGUAAACCUUUGAUAGAUACCCGAGAAAAUAAGUUCAUGAUCUUGUGUGAUCGCUCAGUAUAAUAAAAAAAAAAAACUUUUACUCUUGUGCGUGGUGUAUUGGGUAGCAUGUGAUAUAUGUGAAUGGUGUAAGCUAUUCGGUGUAAGGUGUAAGGUGAAUUUCGGGGACGAAAUUCUUAUAUGGAGGGGUGAAUGUGAUAACCCGAGAAUUUGGACAAUCUUAAAUGAUUGAUUUAAGGUCAAAUAUUAGACCUAGAUAGAAAAUUAGUGUAUGUGUUGGAUAUUUUUAAGAUAGAAUUUUGAGGGUUUCAAAAUUCGGUGAAGGAUUUAGGUGAAUUAUUCAGGAUUAAGUGUUUAUGUGAUUAAGUUCUGUGUAUAUGGUUAAUGAUGUGUUCAGAAUGUGGUUAAGGGUCAAGGGUUGACCAGAUAAAUUAUAUCUGUAACAAACCCUAAGUUUAUAUUAAGAACGUCAACGUUCGGUUAGAAAACCCUAGCGUUUAAAAGAAACCCUAGAAAACCGGUUCUAGAAACCCUAGUUUCAGUUCCGAGAAUCCGAAACCCUAAUUCGGUGCAUGAAACCCUAAAUCGGGAACUUAAUGACAUAAGUGUAAAUAAUUAUAGGAUUAAUUAGGGUUAAUCUUAACAAAUUGAUUACAAAACCCUAAUUCCAAAUUUGAAGCUCUAAUUACGGAUUUGAAACCCUAAUUUGUAAAUGGGGAAAACGAAAGUGUUAAUUUAAUACUUUAAUGUUAAUUAAAAUAUAUUAAUUCUAAUUUCAAGUUAAGUAAUUAGAAAACCCUAAUCUAAUUACGAGAUUUAAUUUCUAAAUUAGAAAAUUUAUUUUCUAUUAGAAACCCUAAUUAGUGGGUUAUAAACCCUAAGGGUUAAAAAGUUGUGUGUAAGGAAUAUGAACAUUAUGUGAUGGUUUAUAUUUAUUUAUUAUAUAAACAAACAAAAGAAAUUAGUAUAAACCUAAUUAUAUAUUAGGAAUGAAGGAUUUAAUAACUUAAAGGUUAUGGAAAAAGAGAAUUGUGGUAUUUUGAAUACUUACUAAUUCUAGGAGACUUAUGUUACAUAUAACAAAUGAUUAAUUUUAUAACCUAAUUAUAGCAACUCUAAUUGGGUUAAGGAAAUAAGUGUGCAUGAGCAAGGAUUUGGAUUAUAAUGAAGGAAGUGAAAACCCUAAUUAAAUGAUUUGGGUUGGAUAAGAAUUUAAAGUAUUGGACUAUGUCAAUUUCUUAUGGCAUAAGAACUUAAUUUAUUAGAAAGCUCAAAACUUGAUCCAUGUAUGGAGGGACUUCUUGGUUAUUGGUUUAGUAAAAUAAAAAGCCAAACUUGGAGCUUAAAUAGACCACAUGGCCGGCCAUGGGAAGCAACAAAAAGGGGAGAUGAAUGUAUUAAUUGUUCACUUUAGUUGGUAAACAACUCUCACCAACUCUCCAUGUGUCAUUCUUUUGAUUGUCCAACACUUAUGUUUUUUUUAUGCAAGCAAUCCUUGGCAAUUGUGUGAGAGAAAGAGGGAAUUAAUAAGGCAUGACCGGAUAUUGCUAGAGAAAAAGGAGAGUGAGUGUGGUCAAUUGAUAAAAAAAAAAACUACACCUAAUAAAAGUCUAGCUUAUAUAUAUAUAUAUAUAUAUAUUUUUCUUUCUUUCAUCUCUUUUAUCCUUCCAAGUUGCUAAGAGGAAAAGAGAGAGAGGGAGAGAGAGAGAGAGGAGUUCGGCUACUUCAAGAGAAGAGGGAGAGGAAAUUAUUACGAGCCUAUGAAAAAUGUUUUGACUGAUAAGAAAUUAUCUGAGAUAAUUGUUAAGUGUUCAGGAAGAGUUUAACUGAACCUAAACUCGAGUAUUGUCCGACUAGACCGUCGGGAUGAUAGAAUGGUGUCAGUUUUAAGUCAGACUGAAAUAGUUUGACCUGAUAUUAAGUCCUAUGUGCUGUAUAGACUUAUAGGGUUAUGUGUUAUGUGUUUAGGUUAUUCUGUGUAUUUAAAUAUAACAGAAUUAUACUGUGAUUCUAAUAUUGGAGAUCUAUAUUAUUAAUAUUAGGUCUUCGGGUAAAGCAAUAUAAAUUGCGUUGCGGUAAUCAACAGUUCAGGCAAGUUUGUUCUUACUUAAAUCUAAUAAGAGUGUUUUAUUUAAGAUUAUGGUUAAUCAUUGCUGAUUUCCAUGAAAAUUGUACUCUGUACAUCUUGCAUGUAUAAGUUAGGUAUGAAAGGCUGAUUACCUUCAUUACCGGUUUGUCCAGAAAUGUUUGUUCAUGUUUAAAACUUGUUCAGUCAAAAGUUUGUUCGUGCUUGUUCUCAAUUAUAUUGAUGAAUUAUAGCCAGCUUAUUAUUCAUACUCUUUAAUCAUGAUAUAUCUUUAUAUUGUUG